RNAcentral lists this ribosomal RNA (2902 nucleotides) under Escherichia coli HVH 70 (4-2963531). RNAcentral describes it as "bacterial LSU rRNA". It matches the Rfam family "Bacterial large subunit ribosomal RNA". The record is from RNAcentral. Lineage: Bacteria; Pseudomonadati; Pseudomonadota; Gammaproteobacteria; Enterobacterales; Enterobacteriaceae.
UUAAGCGACUAAGCGUACACGGUGGAUGCCCUGGCAGUCAGAGGCGAUGAAGGACGUGCUAAUCUGCGAUAAGCGUCGGUAAGGUGAUAUGAACCGUUAUAACCGGCGAUUUCCGAAUGGGGAAACCCAGUGUGUUUCGACACACUAUCAUUAACUGAAUCCAUAGGUUAAUGAGGCGAACCGGGGGAACUGAAACAUCUAAGUACCCCGAGGAAAAGAAAUCAACCGAGAUUCCCCCAGUAGCGGCGAGCGAACGGGGAGGAGCCCAGAGCCUGAAUCAGUGUGUGUGUUAGUGGAAGCGUCUGGAAAGGCGCGCGAUACAGGGUGACAGCCCCGUACACAAAAAUGCACAUAUUGUGAGCUCGAUGAGUAGGGCGGGACACGUGGUAUCCUGUCUGAAUAUGGGGGGACCAUCCUCCAAGGCUAAAUACUCCUGACUGACCGAUAGUGAACCAGUACCGUGAGGGAAAGGCGAAAAGAACCCCGGCGAGGGGAGUGAAAAAGAACCUGAAACCGUGUACGUACAAGCAGUGGGAGCCUCUUAAUGGGGUGACUGCGUACCUUUUGUAUAAUGGGUCAGCGACUUAUAUUCUGUAGCAAGGUUAACCGAAUAGGGGAGCCGAAGGGAAACCGAGUCUUAACUGGGCGUUAAGUUGCAGGGUAUAGACCCGAAACCCGGUGAUCUAGCCAUGGGCAGGUUGAAGGUUGGGUAACACUAACUGGAGGACCGAACCGACUAAUGUUGAAAAAUUAGCGGAUGACUUGUGGCUGGGGGUGAAAGGCCAAUCAAACCGGGAGAUAGCUGGUUCUCCCCGAAAGCUAUUUAGGUAGCGCCUCGUGAAUUCAUCUCCGGGGGUAGAGCACUGUUUCGGCAAGGGGGUCAUCCCGACUUACCAACCCGAUGCAAACUGCGAAUACCGGAGAAUGUUAUCACGGGAGACACACGGCGGGUGCUAACGUCCGUCGUGAAGAGGGAAACAACCCAGACCGCCAGCUAAGGUCCCAAAGUCAUGGUUAAGUGGGAAACGAUGUGGGAAGGCCCAGACAGCCAGGAUGUUGGCUUAGAAGCAGCCAUCAUUUAAAGAAAGCGUAAUAGCUCACUGGUCGAGUCGGCCUGCGCGGAAGAUGUAACGGGGCUAAACCAUGCACCGAAGCUGCGGCAGCGACACUAUGUGUUGUUGGGUAGGGGAGCGUUCUGUAAGCCUGUGAAGGUAGCCUGUGAGGGUUGCUGGAGGUAUCAGAAGUGCGAAUGCUGACAUAAGUAACGAUAAAGCGGGUGAAAAGCCCGCUCGCCGGAAGACCAAGGGUUCCUGUCCAACGUUAAUCGGGGCAGGGUGAGUCGACCCCUAAGGCGAGGCCGAAAGGCGUAGUCGAUGGGAAACAGGUUAAUAUUCCUGUACUUGGUGUUACUGCGAAGGGGGGACGGAGAAGGCUAUGUUGGCCGGGCGACGGUUGUCCCGGUUUAAGCGUGUAGGCUGGUUUUCCAGGCAAAUCCGGAAAACCAAGGCUGAGGCGUGAUGACGAGGCACUACGGUGCUGAAGUGACAAAUGCCCUGCUUCCAGGAAAAGCCUCUAAGCAUCAGGUAACAUCAAAUCGUACCCCAAACCGACACAGGUGGUCAGGUAGAGAAUACCAAGGCGCUUGAGAGAACUCGGGUGAAGGAACUAGGCAAAAUGGUGCCGUAACUUCGGGAGAAGGCACGCUGAUAUGUAGGUGAAGCGACUUGCUCGUGGAGCUGAAAUCAGUCGAAGAUACCAGCUGGCUGCAACUGUUUAUUAAAAACACAGCACUGUGCAAACACGAAAGUGGACGUAUACGGUGUGACGCCUGCCCGGUGCCGGAAGGUUAAUUGAUGGGGUUAGCGGUAACGCGAAGCUCUUGAUCGAAGCCCCGGUAAACGGCGGCCGUAACUAUAACGGUCCUAAGGUAGCGAAAUUCCUUGUCGGGUAAGUUCCGACCUGCACGAAUGGCGUAAUGAUGGCCAGGCUGUCUCCACCCGAGACUCAGUGAAAUUGAACUCGCUGUGAAGAUGCAGUGUACCCGCGGCAAGACGGAAAGACCCCGUGAACCUUUACUAUAGCUUGACACUGAACAUUGAGCCUUGAUGUGUAGGAUAGGUGGGAGGCUUUGAAGUGUGGACGCCAGUCUGCAUGGAGCCGACCUUGAAAUACCACCCUUUAAUGUUUGAUGUUCUAACGUUGGCCCGUAAUCCGGGUUGCGGACAGUGUCUGGUGGGUAGUUUGACUGGGGCGGUCUCCUCCUAAAGAGUAACGGAGGAGCACGAAGGUUGGCUAAUCCUGGUCGGACAUCAGGAGGUUAGUGCAAUGGCAUAAGCCAGCUUGACUGCGAGCGUGACGGCGCGAGCAGGUGCGAAAGCAGGUCAUAGUGAUCCGGUGGUUCUGAAUGGAAGGGCCAUCGCUCAACGGAUAAAAGGUACUCCGGGGAUAACAGGCUGAUACCGCCCAAGAGUUCAUAUCGACGGCGGUGUUUGGCACCUCGAUGUCGGCUCAUCACAUCCUGGGGCUGAAGUAGGUCCCAAGGGUAUGGCUGUUCGCCAUUUAAAGUGGUACGCGAGCUGGGUUUAGAACGUCGUGAGACAGUUCGGUCCCUAUCUGCCGUGGGCGCUGGAGAACUGAGGGGGGCUGCUCCUAGUACGAGAGGACCGGAGUGGACGCAUCACUGGUGUUCGGGUUGUCAUGCCAAUGGCACUGCCCGGUAGCUAAAUGCGGAAGAGAUAAGUGCUGAAAGCAUCUAAGCACGAAACUUGCCCCGAGAUGAGUUCUCCCUGACUCCUUGAGAGUCCUGAAGGAACGUUGAAGACGACGACGUUGAUAGGCCGGGUGUGUAAGCGCAGCGAUGCGUUGAGCUAACCGGUACUAAUGAACCGUGAGGCUUAACCUU